This 422-nucleotide ribosomal RNA is filed under the name uncultured bacterium. Its description in RNAcentral is "SSU rRNA". It matches the Rfam family "Bacterial small subunit ribosomal RNA", at positions 369 to 808 of the family's 1533-position model. The record is from RNAcentral.
CAAUGGGGGAACCCUGAUGCAGCGACGCCGCGUGGAGGAAGAAGGUCUUCGCGAUUGUAAACUCCUGUUGUUGGGGAAGAUAAUGACGGUACCCAACAAGGAAGUGACGGCUAACUACGUGCCAGCAGCCGCGGUAAAACGUAGGUCACAAGCGUUGUCCGGAAUUACUGGGUGUAAAGGGAGCGCAGGCGGGAAGACAAGUUGGAAGUGAAAUCUAUGGGCUCAACCCAUAAACUGCUUUCAAAACUGUUUUUCUUGAGUAGUGCAGAGGUAGGCGGAAUUCCCGGUGUAGCGGUGGAAUGCGUAGAUAUCGGGAGGAACACCAGUGGCGAAGGCGGCCUACUGGGCACCAACUGACGCUGAGGCUCGAAAGUGUGGGUAGCAAACAGGAUUAGAUACCCUGGUAGUCCAAGGGCGAAUUC